AAUUUAACAUUGUGCGAAACUUAUAUAUGCUCAUAAUUGGAUGAGCGUUUCUACCAACUACCGUAAUAGUUGUCUAUAAGUUUUCCCGGCAAUCAA
This 96-nucleotide non-coding RNA is filed under the name Hungatella hathewayi. Its description in RNAcentral is "Clostridium hathewayi Guanine sequence". It matches the Rfam family "Purine riboswitch aptamer". From Rfam's summary of the family: Riboswitches are metabolite binding domains within certain messenger RNAs that serve as precision sensors for their corresponding targets. Allosteric rearrangement of mRNA structure is mediated by ligand binding, and this results in modulation of gene expression. RNAcentral also lists the same sequence under 1 other name. Lineage: Bacteria; Bacillati; Bacillota; Clostridia; Lachnospirales; Lachnospiraceae. The record is from RNAcentral.